RNAcentral lists this long non-coding RNA (3523 nucleotides) under Homo sapiens (human). RNAcentral describes it as "HSALNT0049067". The record is from RNAcentral. Lineage: Eukaryota; Metazoa; Chordata; Mammalia; Primates; Hominidae.
GUACGAAAAAAGAGGUGCAGAGAAAAACACAAUGUGAGAUAUAAUUAGAAGUGCCUGUGCAAAAUGUCAGCUCAGCUUCCCCUCCUCCAGCUAGUGCUUCCAAAAAUGUGAUUCCUGGAGCCUUUGAGUUUAUUUCUGGUUGAUCUGAAUGCAUUUUAUGAGCCAUUUCCCAAAAUAUCCAUUGGAUCUCCUUUGGCCAUCGUAAUCAGCUCAUAAAUUGAGCUCAUCAGCUGUAGGGCUGGAAGAUGGUGCUUCUCAGCCACGAGGGCCAUCAUGUGGGAUUCCUCUCUUCUAGCCACUGAAACCACAGCUGAGACGCUGGCUGGGACAACUCAGCUGCAACCAAAACCAUCCCGGUAGAAGGCUGAAGGUCUGGCUCUGUCACCCAGGCUGGAGUGCGGUGGCGUGAUCACAGCUUACUGCAGCCUCGACCUCCUGGGCUCAAGCAAUCCUCCCACCUCAGCCUCUCGAGUAGCUGAGGGACUACAGCAUCUAUUUUGGCAUGAGACUCCCCCUCAGCAGAUUCCUGAAUAGCAGCUGCUCUUGAUGAUUGCAAGGGGCCCCGCGGCCUGGUGGGACCAAGGCUUCUGCCGUCUGCUCUCCUCCAAACCUGCCUGUGCUCAGUGUGGACUCUGCAAACCUGGAGGCCCAGUGCAGGGGUGGGCUGGGCCUGGAGUUGUCUCUUCUGGUUCCAGCGUCAUCCUGAAACUUCUCUAGCUGCUGCCCCAGGUGUCGUGGUGCCCAUGUCACCUGUGUCCCACAUGGAAAUCUCAGGUCUAAUUAUCUACAGUGACUUAGAUGGCCAAUUAGUUGAUGAAAUGAAUUUGCAUCCAGAGCUCAGCGCUCCAUCUCUGUAGUCUCGGCUGCCAGGAAUGGUUCGGGCAAGAGCAUCAUGGAAACCACGUCCUCCAUCCUGAUUCACGCACAGUGAUGAUCUUAUGUGUCACUCCUGGCCAGGGCGGUGACAGCGAGGAUGCUGCUCAGACAUGGUGCCCUUCCCUAGACGCCAGCAGCCUUCAGGGAGGUGCCUGUCUUCCUGAGAUGGUUGGCUCCAAAGGGCUGCAGGGAAGAACCAGGAUGGCCGUGGCACAGGGGACCUUCACAUUGAAAUGUGGAUGUAUAGUCCUUGUUUUGCCAGAACAGACAAGAAAAUAGUGCAAGGCUGGUCAGAGUUGACUUCACUGCCUUGUGGACAAAGGAAAUCAUGCAACACGGACUCAACUCAAAAAGCCUCGGAGAAUUCUAGAAUCCUUUGACAGAAUGGAAACCUCAACUAGCAAAGUGAGCUAAUGGAAGCACUGAUUCUAUUGCUAACAGAUAAUUUUAAACCAGUGAUUUUCAGCUCAUUGGCCUCAAAAUCAAAUACUGACACCAAAUAACAGAGACGAUUUCACAAUUCUGAUUUCUUAUUCAAGAACAAUAGCAGCAGUCUUCUCGUUGAAAGCAGGAUAGGUGCCUAGUACUGCCUCCUUAAGAGAUGGAGGUGGGGAGGGGCAUAGGUUUUUGUUUGGCUUUGCUUCGUUAUCAUUGUGUGUGUGUAUGUUUGUGUGUGUGUGUGUGUGUGUGUGUGUGUGUGUGUGUGUGUGUUUUAAAAGAAGCUUAUUUCUAACCAAGCAAGCACACAGGUGGACUCUAGAAAGCCCACAACAUAGUCUUUCACUUUAUGCCCUACCUACUUUUACCCAACUUAUACACCACCCACAGUUGGGUGGGGUUUUCCUAACACAUCUUGCCCCUAUUACCCAAUGGGCAAUAGGUCUUUGAUGGGCAAUAGAUCUGAAUCUUUGAUGCAGGCUUUCUGGAGAGCCAUCUUAGACUAAAGAAGUAAAGAUAGUCUUUUCAUUGGACCAUCCCUCCUCCUGUCAUAUCUUCCACACAGAGCUCUAUAUCCUCAUCUUAGCACACUUCCUCCUAAAGGUUGUUCUGUCCCUUCCUUUUCCUUGAGGUAACGACAAAUCACAACCUGCUAAAGUUAUUAAAACUACAGGAUCUCCUUUGAGAGCUGAUGACAGCUUGUCCUGCCAAGCAUCAGUUAAAUGCUUAAGCAACAUCUCUGUAAAGUAGCUUGCAAUUCUUUUGGGAGCAUUUUGGAUACAGAGAGUGUGGACAACUUAGCCCUGAUAUUUUUUGGGAAGUGGACAACUUGCAGAAUAAGGUGCCUAAAAUUUGACCUGGAUUCUUUCUUCCAUUUGCAUCCAUCCAUAUGAAUUUCCUAGGAAGGUAGGACUUAAAGGUGAUUCAUCAUUCUAAUUACCAUGUGGCCCCAGUGGGUUAUGAACCACUAAACUAAAGUCUUUAUAAAGCACAUGUUCUUCUCUAUCUUUCUACUCAGGGACAAUGCAUCUUGGGAUUCACUUUGACAAAGCAGAGUGAACAUGUCCAGGACUCCAGAACACUUAAUUGAUUUUUGAGUGUCAAACCAACCUUGCAUACCUGAGAUACGUCACACUUGGUCAUGGUGUAUCAUCCUUUUUAUACAUUGCUAGGUUUGGUUUGCUAGCAUUUUGUUGAAGGAUUUUACAUUUAUAUUAAUAAGAAACAUUGGUCUGUAGUUUUCUCUUCUUGUGAUAUCUUUGUAUGGUUUUGGUACCAGAUUGAGGUGGGAUCUACUUCCAGCCUUGCUCCCCAAAACUGAUUUUAAAUUCAGUAUCUAAAAUACAUUCUAAAUGUAAAUCAAGUCGAUCAUGUUCUGACCCUACCUCCAAUGGCUUCCCAUUGCAUGCACCAUGCAGAGCACUCACCAAGGUCUCCAGUGCCUACCUCUUGACCUUCACGUCUUGAUAUCUCUCUCUUGCUCCUUUGACUGUAGCACACUGGUCUUUUUGAGGUUCUGUCAAUCUGUCAUGCUACUUUUCUCCUUAGGGCCUCUAUGCUUCCAGUUUCCCUUGUCUGGAAUGCCAUGAAUGGCCCCUUCUGAUCAUGCAGGCCUGUAGGCAAACAUCAGUUACUUAAAGGCCUUCUGCAAAGACCGCACCUAAAAUAACCUCUAUUCCAUGGUCACUCUUUGCCCAUUACCCUGCUUAAUUUGUUUCAGCACUUAUAUUCUGAUAUCACAUUAUUUGUUCACUUAUGUAUGGCUUGCCUCCCCGACUACAAUGUAAAUUCCAUGAAAGUGUGGAUUUUGUCCUAUUCCGUAAUGGAUCACCAGUACCUAAGACUGUGAGGGAUGCUUGGUAAAUGCUCAUAAAUGUUUCUUGAAUGAAUGAAGUGCACAAAGAUUUCUGUACAAGGAUAUUCAUCAAAGCAUUAUUUAUAAUAGUAACAUAUUUACAACUACAUAAAUGUCCAACAGUAGAGGAAUUGCCAAAUAAGUUCAAAUAUCCAUAGAAUGGAACAAGAUGUAGUCAUUUAAAAUAAUGUUUUACAUUUUCUAAUGACAUGAAAAAUUUGUAUAAUAUAAUAUUGUGUGAAAAAUAUGUUACAUCUCUACAUAAUUUGAGCCUAAUUAUGUUUUAUAAUUAUGUGUAUAAAAUAAAAGACGAGCAUCAAAAUCUUAACAGUGACGGUCUUGGGUAGAGAGUUA